CCUACGGGAGGCAGCAGUGAGGAAUAUUGGUCAAUGGCCGCAGGGCUGAACCAGCCAAGUCGCGUGAGGGAUGACGGUCCUAUGGAUUGUAAACCUCUUUUGUCAGGGAGCAAAGGGCGCCACGUGUGGCGCUUUGCGAGUACCUGAAGAAAAAGCAUCGGCUAACUCCGUGCCAGCAGCCGCGGUAAUACGGAGGAUGCGAGCGGUAUCCGGAUUUAUUGGGUUUAAAGGGUGCGCAGGCGGAAUGUCAAGUCAGCGGUAAAAUUUCGGGGCUCAACCCCGUCGUGCCUUUGAAACUGGCGUUCUUGAGUGAGCGAGAAGUAUGCGGAAUGCGUGGUGUAGCGGUGAAAUGCAUAGAUAUCACGCAGAACUCCGAUUGCGAAGGCAGCAUACCGGCGCUCAACUGACGCUCAUGCACGAAAGCGUGGGUAUCGAACAGGAUUAGAUACCCGGGUAGUC
Molecule: ribosomal RNA, 459 nt
Filed under: uncultured bacterium
Lineage: Bacteria
Description: partial 16S ribosomal RNA
Rfam family: Bacterial small subunit ribosomal RNA
Source: RNAcentral